Molecule: non-coding RNA, 161 nt
Organism: Populus trichocarpa (black cottonwood)
Lineage: Eukaryota; Viridiplantae; Streptophyta; Magnoliopsida; Malpighiales; Salicaceae
Source: Rfam
ACUAGAACUCGAGAUAUGGGCUGAACACUGAACAAUGUCUUGGCUGCAGGACAGAUUCCAACUUAUCUAUUGUUGCUACAAUUUGAACUUGAAAAAGAUCUUUUUGAAUCCUGGACUCUUCAUGAAAGUUUUAGGCCUAUGUCUUAGCUUAGCUUUCUAUC